AUGGUAUGCACUGGCUCGCUGACUCCUCCUUCUUGUAGAACCGUAAUGCCAUUAAUUUGGUGUUGCGGGGAAACAGGACUGUUACUUUGAAAAAAUUAGAGUGUUUAAAGCAGGCCAACGCCUGAAUACAUUAGCAUGGAAUAAUGAAAUAGGACGUUCGAACCUAUUUUGUUGGUUUCUAGGAUUGACGUAAUGAUUAAUAGGGAUAGUUGGGGGCAUUAGUAUUCAAUUGUCAGAGGUGAAAUUCUUGGAUUUAUUGAAGACUGACUACUGCGAAAGCAUUUGCCAAGGAUGUUUUCAUUAAUCAAGAACGAAAGUUAGGGGAUCGAAGACGAUCAGAUACCGUCGUAGUCUUAACCAUAAACUAUGCCGACUAGGGAUCGGAUGAUGUUAAUUUUUUAAUGACUCAUUCGGCGCCUUACG
RNAcentral lists this ribosomal RNA (423 nucleotides) under uncultured Glomeromycotina. Its description in RNAcentral is "SSU rRNA". It matches the Rfam family "Eukaryotic small subunit ribosomal RNA", at positions 671 to 1092 of the family's 1831-position model. The record is from RNAcentral. Lineage: Eukaryota; Fungi; Glomeromycota.